UAGGGAAUCUUCGGCAAUGGACGAAAGUCUGACCGAGCAACGCCGCGUGAGUGAAGAAGGUUUUCGGAUCGUAAAACUCUGUUGUUAGAGAAGAACAAGGACGUUAGUAACUGAACGUCCCCUGACGGUAUCUAACCAGAAAGCCACGGCUAACUACGUGCCAGCAGCCGCGGUAAUACGUAGGUGGCAAGCGUUGUCCGGAUUUAUUGGGCGUAAAGCGAGCGCAGGCGGUUUCUUAAGUCUGAUGUGAAAGCCCCCGGCUCAACCGGGGAGGGUCAUUGGAAGCUGGGAGACUGGAGUGCAGAAGAGGAGAGUGGAAUUCCAUGUGUAGCGGUGAAAUGCGUAGAUAUAUGGAGGAACACCAGUGGCGAAGGCGGCUCUCUGGUCUGUAACUGACGCUGAGGCUCGAAAGCGUGGGGAGCAAACAGG
RNAcentral lists this ribosomal RNA (429 nucleotides) under Chloroflexota bacterium. RNAcentral describes it as "Chloroflexi bacterium partial 16S ribosomal RNA". It matches the Rfam family "Bacterial small subunit ribosomal RNA", at positions 355 to 776 of the family's 1533-position model. The record is from RNAcentral. Lineage: Bacteria; Bacillati; Chloroflexota.